GAUGCGAGCGUUAUCCGGAUUUAUUGGGUUUAAAGGGUGCGCAGGCGGUACGGAAAGUCAGCGGUAAAAUUACGGAGCUCAACUCCGCCGAGCCGUUGAAACUUCCGCACUAGAGUGAGCGAGAAGUAAGCGGAAUGCGUGGUGUAGCGGUGAAAUGCAUAGAUAUCACGAAGAACUCCGAUUGCGAAGGCAGCUUACCGUAGCAUUACUGACGCUGAUGCUCGAAGGUGCGGGUAUC
RNAcentral lists this ribosomal RNA (238 nucleotides) under uncultured bacterium. Its description in RNAcentral is "partial 16S ribosomal RNA". It matches the Rfam family "Bacterial small subunit ribosomal RNA", at positions 531 to 769 of the family's 1533-position model. The record is from RNAcentral.